UGAAGCCAGAUUUAAAGUUAGGUAGUCAGUGUAGUUAGGUAAAUCGGGUCUAAUACCGAGUGAAAUCUAAAAUGGAGGCCAUGCUGGCAAUGAUUCCGGGAAACGCAGGACAACUCAUGGAAUGUUAAUGAAGUCCCGAAAAGGCCCUAGGCCAAAGUCCACCUCAAAGAAAUGUUAAUGAACAGCCCCCAGCAAAAAGGUGCUGACUCAGAAGUCCUUCCUGACCAGAUUACUUCUUUGGCCCACCUGUGUCCCACCCCUCGGUCCUUCCCACCUACAUUCCAUCACUGAAAGAACUAUAAAAAGGGGAGACAACAUCCCUUCCACGGAUUCCACCUCUUGGGUCCCCUUCUUCCUC
This 358-nucleotide long non-coding RNA is filed under the name Marmota monax (woodchuck). Lineage: Eukaryota; Metazoa; Chordata; Mammalia; Rodentia; Sciuridae. The record is from RNAcentral.